This is a long non-coding RNA of Cervus elaphus (red deer), 193 nucleotides long. RefSeq lists it as uncharacterized. Lineage: Eukaryota; Metazoa; Chordata; Mammalia; Artiodactyla; Cervidae. The record is from RefSeq and is a predicted model, not a curated record. The transcript has 3 exons.
UGUUCCAUGUCCACUUUUAACUGUUGCUUCUUGACCUGCUUGCAGAUUUUUCAAGAGGCAGGUAAGGUGGUCUGGUAUUUCUGUCUCUUUAAGGAUUUUCCACAGUUUGUUGUGAUCCACACAGUUAAACACUUUAGCAUAGUCCAUGAAGCAGAUGUUUUUCUGGAACUCCCUUGCUUUCUCUGUGAUCCAA